GGCAACGCGCUAGGGUCACUUUUGAGAUCAAGAAAGCUUUGUUCUUUUGCUGUUUAUAAUAAAACCUGUUGCUGCUCGCUCUUUUGGGUUCUGACUGCGUUUAUGAGCUGUAACACUUACCACAAAGGUGUGUAGGUUCACUCCUGAAGCCUGUGAGACCACGAAUCCACCGGGAGGAACGAACAACUCCAGAUGUGGUGCCUUAAGAGCUAUAACACUCACUGUGAAGGUCUGCAGCUUUGCUCCUGAGCUAGCUAGACCACGAACCCACCAGCAGGAAAAAACUCCGAACACAUUUGAGCAUCAGAAGGAACAAACUCUGGACACGCCGCCUUUAAGAACUGUGAUAUUCACUGCGACAGUCCGCGGCUUCAUUCUUGAAGUCAGACCAAGAACCCACCAAUUCCGGACAUAGGAAUACUAGCAGGGACUUUCUGGACAUUCGGCUCGGAGUUGGUUAGUUGUUCAGGAUGGUUCAAAGGUUUUGGCAGAGUUCAAAGACUGGGAAGCAAAGUUCAGCCAUGUUGGGCCUUUGGGCUCAUAGAUGAGCAAGGGUACCCCAAUAUGAGGGCUCAGCAAAUUCUGGAACUUAUCAGUUCUGAAGACCUUUAGAGGAGAAGGAGACAAGUAAAAGGUAUGUAGUCCUGGAGGGCGCUGCUUAAUGAACCAGAAGUCCUGCCUCUUAAGUACCUCACCAGCUCAAAUGUGUGCAUGUCACCUUGGCGUGAAUCG
Molecule: long non-coding RNA, 732 nt
Filed under: Homo sapiens (human)
Lineage: Eukaryota; Metazoa; Chordata; Mammalia; Primates; Hominidae
Description: HSALNT0383666
Source: RNAcentral